RNAcentral lists this ribosomal RNA (265 nucleotides) under uncultured bacterium. RNAcentral describes it as "partial 16S ribosomal RNA". It matches the Rfam family "Bacterial small subunit ribosomal RNA", at positions 89 to 353 of the family's 1533-position model. The record is from RNAcentral.
UGGCGACCGGCGCACGGGUGAGUAACGCGUAUCCAACCUGCCGAUGACUCGGGGAUAGCCUUUCGAAAGAAAGAUUAAUACCCGAUGGCAUAGUUCUUCCGCAUGGUGGAACUAUUAAAGAAUUUCGGUCAUCGAUGGGGAUGCGUUCCAUUAGGUUGUUGGCGGGGUAACGGCCCACCAAGCCUUCGAUGGAUAGGGGUUCUGAGAGGAAGGUCCCCCACAUUGGAACUGAGACACGGUCCAAACUCCUACGGGAGGCAGCAUG